This 1296-nucleotide ribosomal RNA is filed under the name Triticum aestivum (bread wheat). Its description in RNAcentral is "partial small subunit ribosomal RNA". Lineage: Eukaryota; Viridiplantae; Streptophyta; Magnoliopsida; Poales; Poaceae. The record is from RNAcentral.
AUGGUGGCGCCCGCGGGAGGAGGGUCGCCGUCGCGGUGGCCGUCGGAGGAGGAGCUUGACAUUGUGCGGAAGAAUGUGGUCGAGAUUAGUGGAAGAGAUGCGAGAGAGGUUAGGGUGGUUGCUUGCCCCUACAGGAUUUGUCCUUUGGGGGCCCACAUUGAUCAUCAGGGCGGAAUAGUGACUGCUAUGACAAUCAAUUAUGGAGUACUUCUUGGCUUUGUGCCCUCUGAUGAUGCUGAGGUUGUACUCCAGUCUGGUCAAUUUAAAGGCGUUACUCGAUUCAGAGUUGAUGACUUGCAAAAGCCUAUUGAGAACCGAGGAAACAUAACUUGGGAAAGCUAUGCAAGAGGUGCAGUUUAUGCCCUGCAAAAUAGUGGAUAUGAUCUCAGAAAGGGUAUAAUAGGUUAUAUUUCUGGAGUGAAUGGACUUGACAGUUCAGGGCUUAGUUCGUCUGCAGCUGUUGGCAUUGCCUAUUUGCUGGCUUUAGAAAAUGUAAAUGAUCUGGUCUUAUCACCAGUUGAUAACAUUCAGUUGGACAAGUCCAUUGAAAAUAAAUAUUUGGGUCUUGAAAAUGGCAUUCUAGAUCCAUCAGCCAUUUUAUUGUCUCGAUACAGCUACCUCACCUUCAUGGAUUGCAAGACUGCCUCACCUUCCUACGUCUACUUCUCGGAACUAAGUAAAAGCCAGCAACCUCAAGGUCGGCUGCCAUUCAAGAUUUUGUUGGCAUUUUCAGGUUUGCAACAUAACCUACCCAAGUCGCGUGGGUAUAAUAUGCGAGUCUUCGAGUGCAAAGAGGCUGCACGUGCUCUUUUAUGUGCGUCAGGCUCUGAAGAUGCACCAAUACUUCGUAAAGUUGAUCCAGGUGUAUAUGAGGCCCAAAAGUGUAUAUUAGAUGAAAAUCUUGCCAAGAGAGCUGAGCACUAUUUCUCUGAAAUGAAGCGAGUUGUUAAGGGAAGAGAGGCAUGGGCUCGUGGAGACCUACAAGAAUUCGGACAGCUGGUCUCUGCAUCUGGCCGCAGCUCCAUAGUCAACUACGAAUGCGGGAGCAAAGAGAUGAUACAGCUGUACGAGAUCCUCCUGAAGGCGCCAGGGGUCCUCGGCGCGCGGUUCAGCGGCGCUGGCUUCAGAGGCUGCUGCCUCGCCAUCGUCGAAAGCGACCACGCGGAGGAGGCCGCGGCGUACGUUGGCGCCGAGUACGAGAGGGCCCAGCCAGAGCUGGUGAGCAAGAUCCCCGCGGAUCGUCGCGUGCUGGUCUGCGAGCCCGGGGACUCCGCGCGCGUCAUAUUGCAGUCAUGA